UCGUGCACGGACGAUCGUUUAUGAAGAAGGACGAAGUGGUUGUUGUAAAUCUCGUUAAUGCACGUAGUCAGUUAAGCACAUUUCUGUUCGCACAUCCUGUUCUUUGCGAUUUGAGCGUGGUGCACCAUAUGCCUGGUUUUUGUUCAACUUAUGGGACACCAGUAAAUCGUGGCUCGCGUUUGCUGUGAAGCGUCUACCUAGUUCAGAUCUCCGUAUGUCAUGCGUCCUGGCUCGUAGGGUCAUCAAGGCGCUCUUAUUGUAAUGUAUCGUUGCCCUUGUGUUUUUAACACUCUUAUGGGCUACGUUGACCACUGUAGACAUGUACAUGAAGCGAGCAGAAUACCGUGCUGUCAUGCAUUAUGUGUGUACACGGCGGCGAACUAUGCAACACUCAGAUGUCACAUUUUGGGACGUUACAAGAACACACCAGGACGGUCGCCUCGAAUCGAUUUGCUCUCCGAAACCACGAAAGAAUGUCACGUCAAUUCGUGCUCCUGUCUUGUCAACACAAAUAUAGAGGUACUGUCACAUAUGAAGCAGCACAUACGAGAGGGACAUGAUCAGAUAUCCUUAUGAACACUGCCAGAAGAAGUUCCGUGCCGUCUCCGCGUUUUGCGUACACCUUCUUAUGUUCUUCCUUUGAAACAAUAAAACGGUGAGUAUAAUUUCCUUUCUCAUUGCAGGGUUUUGAUGCCAGAGCUGACUGAUGGGUGCACAUGGUUCCUUGGUAUGUUCUUCCUUUGGAAAAAUAAACGUAUUUUGAUGCCAGAGCUGACUGAUGGGUGCACAUGGUUCCUUCGUAUGUUCUUCCUUUGAAAAAAUAAACGUAUUUUGAUGCCAGAGCUGACUGAUGGGUGCACAUGGUUCCUUCGUAUGUUCUUCCUUUGAAAAAAUAAACGUAUUUUGAUGCCAGAGCUGACUGAUGGGUGCACAUGGUUCUCUCGUAUGUUCUUCCUUUGAAAAAAUAAACGUAUUUUGAUGCCAGAGCUGACUGAUGGGUGCACAUGGUUCCUUGGUAUGUUCUUCCUUUGGAAAAAUAAACGUAUUUUGAUGCCAGAGCUGACUGAUGGGUGCACAUGGUUCCUUCGUAUGUUCUUCCUUUGAAAAAAUAAACGUAUUUUGAUGUCAGAGCUGACUGAUGGGUGCACAUGGUUCCUUCGUAUGUUCUUCCUUUGAAAAAAUAAACGUAUUUUGAUGCCAGAGCUGACUGAUGGGUGCACAUAGUUCCUUCGUAUGUUCUUCCUUUGAAAAAAUAAACGGUGAGUAUAACUGCAUGUCAAUUGCCCUGCUCCCUGUAAGAGUUUCCUUUCUCUUUGCAGUAUUUUGAUGCCAGAGCUGACUGAUGGGUGCACAUGGUUUUCUCGUAUGUUCUUCCUUUGAAAAAAUAAACGUAUUUUGAUGCCAGAGCUGACUGAUGGGUGCACAUGGUUCCUUCGUAUGUUCUUCCUUUGAAAAAAAAACAACGUAUUUUGAUGCCAGAGCUGACUGAUGGGUGCACAUGGUUCUCUCGUAUGUUCUUCCUUUGAAAAAAUAAACGUAUUUUGAUGCCAGAGCUGACUGAUGGGUGCACAUGGUUCCUUGGUAUGUUCUUCCUUUGGAAAAAUAAACGUAUUUUGAUGCCAGAGCUGACUGAUGGGUGCACAUGGUUCCUUCGUAUGUUCUUCCUUUGAAAAAAUAAACGUAUUUUGAUGUCAGAGCUGACUGAUGGGUGCACAUGGUUCCUUCGUAUGUUCUUCCUUUGAAAAAAUAAACGUAUUUUGAUGCCAGAGCUGACUGAUGGGUGCACAUGGUUCCUUCGUAUGUUCUUCCUUUGAAAAAAUAAACGGUGAGUAUAACUGCAUGUCAAUUGCCCUGCUCCCUGUAAGAGUUUCCUUUCUCUUUGCAGUAUUUUGAUGCCAGAGCUGACUGAUGGGUGCACAUGGUUCCUUCGUAUGUUCUUCCUUUGAAAAAAUAAACGGUGAGUAUAACUGCAUGUCAAUUGCCCUGCUCCCUGUAAGAGUUUCCUUUCUCUUUGCAGUAUUUUGAUGCCAGAGCUGACUGAUGGGUGCACAUGGUUCCUUCGUAUGUCCUUCCUUUGAAAAAAUAAACGUAUUUUGAUGCCAGAGCUGACUGAUGGGUGCACAUGGUUCCUUCGUAUUUUCUUCCUUUGAAAAAAUAAACGGUGAGUAUAACUGCAUGUCAAUUGCCCUGCUCCCUGUAAGAGUUUCCUUUCUCUUUGCAGUAUUUUGAUGCCAGAGCUGACUGAUGGGUGCACAUGGUUCCUUCGUAUGUUCUUCCUUUGAAAAAAUAAACGUAUUUUGAUGUCAGAGCUGACUGAUGGGUGCACAUGGUUCCUUCGUAUGUUCUUCCUUUGAAAAAAUAAACGUAUUUUGAUGCCAGAGCUGACUGAUGGGUGCACAUGGUUCCUUCGUAUGUUCUUCCUUUGAAAAAAUAAACGGUGAGUAUAACUGCAUGUCAAUUGCCCUGCUCCCUGUAAGAGUUUCCUUUCUCUUUGCAGUAUUUUGAUGCCAGAGCUGACUGAUGGGUGCACAUGGUUCCUUCGUAUGUUCUUCCUUUGAAAAAAUAAACGUAUUUUGAUGCCAAAGCUGACUGAUGGGUGCACAUGGUUCCUUCGUAUGUCCUUCCUUUGAAAAAAUAAACGUAUUUUGAUGCCAGAGCUGACUGAUGGGUGCACAUGGUUCCUUCGUAUUUUCUUCCUUUGAAAAAAUAAACGGGUUUUGAUGCCAGAGGUGACUGGCGCAUUUUCAUCACUAUGUACAUAGAAAAUAAAUCCCAAUGUGAC
Ornithodoros turicata is the source of this 2782-nucleotide long non-coding RNA. RefSeq lists it as uncharacterized. The record is from RefSeq and is a predicted model, not a curated record. NCBI's taxonomy places the organism in Eukaryota, Metazoa, Arthropoda, Arachnida, Ixodida, Argasidae. The transcript has 20 exons.